Molecule: transfer RNA, 24 nt
Filed under: Stenanthemum complicatum
Lineage: Eukaryota; Viridiplantae; Streptophyta; Magnoliopsida; Rosales; Rhamnaceae
Also listed under: 2 other names
Description: partial transfer RNA-Phe
Source: RNAcentral
CGGGAUAGCUCAGCUGGUAGAGCA